AUUGAACGCUGGCGGCAUGCCUUACACAUGCAAGUCGAACGGCAGCACGGGAGCAAUCCUGGUGGCGAGUGGCGAACGGGUGAGUAAUAUAUCGGAACGUGCCCGGUCGUGGGGGAUAACGUAGCGAAAGCUACGCUAAUACCGCAUACGAUCUACGGAUGAAAGCGGGGGAUCGCAAGACCUCGCGCGAUUGGAGCGGCCGAUAUCAGAUUAGGUAGUUGGUGAGGUAAAGGCUCACCAAGCCGACGAUCUGUAGCUGGUCUGAGAGGACGACCAGCACACUGGGACUGAGACACGGCCCAGACUCCUACGGGAGGCAGCAGUGGGAAUUUGGACAAUGGGCGCAAGCCUGAUCCAGCAAUGCCGCGUGCAGGAUGAAGGCC
Molecule: ribosomal RNA, 383 nt
Filed under: uncultured bacterium
Lineage: Bacteria
Description: bacterial SSU rRNA
Rfam family: Bacterial small subunit ribosomal RNA
Source: RNAcentral